GUAAAAUGGUUCAGAAAAUUAGAAGCAGAUUUUUUUCGCUCUAUUGAGUUAAAAGGAAUGCCACCCAUUCUUGCAUGAAAUAAUGCCACCUUAAAACCGGCCGUCUCCAUCAUCUAUUCUAGUUCUGUGUGUACUGUGCUUGUUCUGAAUCACUGCUGAAUCACGUUGGCCUGGCCUACAAGUCUAUGGUUCAUUAGAGGCCAGGUGAUUGGCUUUCUGCUCUGGCUUUGCUCUUGUCCCUUUUCGGUGUAUUCUCAGACAAUGAUGAAAGCAUCCUCCAAUCGGAGGACUGUCGUAGGAACAGGGCGGGUCUGACUCUGUCAGAGCCUUUCUAUUAACUUGUUUCCACGCACUGCAUUGAAGCAUCUCCCACAUACAAAACAAAGGGAGACAAUGGGAAAAUGCCAGGGCAGAAACAGCCUCAAACGGAGAGAUGCCAUAACUGGGCAUGAUUGUCCUGUAGAGUAAGAUAACCGAACAUCAAUAGCUGCGUUUAUUUUUCUUUCUCAUAGGGAAGAGGUUAUUAAAACCCGACAAAUACAGGAGAACCGUAAAAUAAGCAAUGAAAAGAAAACAGUCUGACACUUCUUGCUUUCUGGAUUCUGCAGUGAGGAAAAGAAAGCUUCUACAUCUAUACAGAAAGAUCCCCAGUGAUGCCAUUUCAGAAUGCUAUUAAAGAGGAAGAAGCUGGCUAGCAGAGGACUCCAUUUUAGAGCUGAGAAGCUGCAAAUAAGUCCUUUCUUCUUCGCCAAACAAUAUGGUGGAGAUUAGAACAUUUCAGAAGACUGAUAAAAAGGAAUCGUGUAAAAAAUUCUCUUCUUCCUUAAAAAUAACAUAAUGGAGGGGAAGAAAAAUAAUGGACUGAAGAUGGCCCUUCAAAAAGAAUAUAAUGAAGAAAAAGAAA
Ahaetulla prasina is the source of this 904-nucleotide long non-coding RNA. RefSeq lists it as uncharacterized. The transcript has 2 exons. The record is from RefSeq and is a predicted model, not a curated record. Lineage: Eukaryota; Metazoa; Chordata; Lepidosauria; Squamata; Colubridae.